Molecule: long non-coding RNA, 840 nt
Organism: Rhinolophus ferrumequinum (greater horseshoe bat)
Lineage: Eukaryota; Metazoa; Chordata; Mammalia; Chiroptera; Rhinolophidae
Exons: 3
Source: RefSeq, a predicted model, not a curated record
UCUACAAUGGCAAACUGGGCACACACAUGUACCUCUCUUCCAUUCAUGGAUCCCAUAGAACGACAAUGAAGAUACAAAGUGUUCAAAAACAUAGAGCUGGACAUAUACAAAAUUAUGAAGUUUGAAAAGUGGCUGCUGUGACUGAAUUUAGAAGAGAAAAGCACAUGGAGACAGGAGACAUCAUUCCAGGGUUGAUUCAGCCAUAUAAUGGGACGUGAUCUUGGGAGGCAAUAGAUGAAAUGAUUUGAGAUCACCCAGGUAAUCACAAGCCUCAGGAGUAGAGAGAAGAUUAAAGCCACAUUAGCUUGACUACCUCACUCAACAGAGGAUCUCAGCGUUUGAAUUCAAGCAAUGACUUUUUUCUUUGAAUACUAAAUAAAAUUGUGGGCCAUUUUUUAAAUUUAACCAUGCACUAAAAGACUGCAUUGAUUAAAUGUUCUUCUAUUCCUUCCCGUUCUGAAAAUCUUCCUGUAUUACUCCACACUUCAACAUCUAGCAAGUUACAUUUCCUAUGGGUAGUAAUGACAAAUUAGUGUUCCUUUUUGUCUCUUUUUUCUAAUAUCUUGAAGAACAGAAUCUUGUCCCAAGGAUAUUACGGGUAUUUAACUAUUCAAUUGAUGCACUUUUAAUAUUUCCCAAGAUUGAUUAUGUCACACCAAAUUAUUUUAUUCUGCACCAUUACUGUUUCAUUUUAUUGAGAUACAGGUAACUCCCGUAUAACACGGCACUUCUGUAACACAGUUUCACUCUGGAGAAUUGGGGGAAACCCUCGCACAACACGGCAUCCUAGAACAAGGUUUCACUCUAACACGGUUUGAGAAUUAGAGAAAUCCCCAAACA